AAAAGUAGAAAUAUUUCUACUAGCUUUUGUCUUCCUUUUCAUUAUAGAGUAUUUUGUAAGAGAGUGAGUGUUGGGAAACACUUGCGUGAACCCUUUCUUUCGAUUGAUCUUUUGAUGUUAUUCUCUAGUGGUAUUUGGGACUAAUUAGAGUAUUUGCUCUAAUUUUGUAUUCUCUUAUGUACUCUUGUUGGUAUAGUGAAAUUGCUUCUCUCUGCUUGUGGACGUAGGUUUCCUUGACUGAACCACGUUAAAUUUGUACAUUUUUUAAUCUGCUUUAAUUACAUUUAUUAUCAACUUGUAUUGUCUUUGUUAUUGUCAUUAUAACAUUAUUUGGCUAAAUUCCGCAUUAACCGAGUUUUCGAUCCUAACAUUGAUGAUAAGCCAGUGAUUUUUGUCAAUUACAAGGGUGAAGAAAGCAGUUUGACGCCGAGGAGAUCUCAUUUAUGGUGCUCAUAAAAAGAAGAAAGAAAUUGCUAGUUCCUGAACCACAUAUCGGUUUGUUCGAGUCUCACGAUUUUUCGAAGUAAGUCUCCUAAGGCCGAAACACGUCGGAUUAAGGUUCAAUGUCCCCUUUUAUUUAUUUUACUAAUGUUUUGUAUCGUACCUUGACAUAAUCAGACGCAGUAAAAAAUAAAAAUAUUCACAAGUUGUUAUUUGUAUCUUGUGCAAAUAUUUUUUUUAUUGAUUCUAUUCUUUUUUAUGAAUGCUUGUUAAAGUAGGAUUCUAUGUUAAUUACAGCUUUGAUAGAAGAUAUAUAUGUACAAUUACUAUGUAUGUUAUGAAUUUAUUUACAAAAGUUCCUAUAUCCUUUUGUUUGAGAAAUAUAUUUAGUGGUAUCUCUUUCAAUAUUAAUGGGUUCUCCAAUACAUUUAUGCGAUAUUAGUAUAUUUGUCAGCGCUUAGGUUCUUAAAAAAAUAUUUUAAUGGCAACACCAAUUGCCACAAAAAUUUGUAGCUUUUGUUGCAACUAAGGUCGGUACAGAAGACUUCGUGGAGACUAGGUUGACACUAAAGUAUUUUCUUCCGUUAAUUCUUUUUUGGACCACUUUUAUGAGUGUUUUGUGGCAACUACGGGCAAGAAAAACUUUCAGUUCCACGAAACAACUUUUACCACUGACCUUUAUAGUUUAAUGGCAUGUUGGAUAUUGUGUUAUUUGGCUAUUUGAUAUGAUAUUCAUGAUAUUUUGUGUGUUCGUUGGUUUUAUUUUGAUGAGCUCAUUUAAAAAUUGAUGACUAUGUCAUAAUUGAUAUAGAAAAGAUAAAAUGAGGGAGGGAAGGUUAUGUUGUCCGUGUAUAAAUUUAUUUGGUUGCAAGUUUUAUGUUACAAAUUUAUUUAAAAGAAAUGCUUAUGGACGAAGGUGAAAACUUAUGGAUCAAAUAGAACUUUUCAUGACCUGGUAGAGUUAUGUGACACAUCGAAAAGAGUCUCAUAUGGUCCUAUUAUUCUGCCUCUAGAUUACUAGACUUGUAUUCGUAUGUGCCAUUGUAUUAUGUGUGGAGAGUAUUGAGAAAGAUGGGGACCGAAAAUUGGCAUUGCUCGUUAGCUUUGUCUAAAGUGUCAGAAGUUUCAUAUAGAUUACUUCUCAAUACAAUUUAUUUCAAAUUCAUUAUCAAUAAUACAUCUUCUAUCCUAGACGGUCAAAUUUUAUCUUAUCUUAUGAUUUAGUUAAGAUUUCAUAUUGUUUAGAUUUACAAAAGAAUGAACGCUCCCUUGUUUCCUCCAAUGGGUGCUUUAUUGUGUCAAAUGAAUAACUUAUCUUUGUCGUACCUAGUUUAAACCUUUGCAAUAUGAUUGGUUGAAAAUGUCGGACUUGAUUAUUACUACAAAUUAUUUUCUGCAACCAAUUGGUUUAGAAUUGUCUUUAGUUCUAUUGUUUUUGUCACUGCUUAUUAAAAGGUGCCCUGUUUUAUGCUGGGUCGCAAAAAUAUGCGUACCUCAUUUUAAGCUUCUUAUCUGGUUAUACUUGUACGAAAUGAAGAAUGAAUUGAAAAUUUUUCUCUGUGUAUUUCAUUCCUGUUACUGUACAUGUAUAUAUACACUUACAUCUGAAGAAUAAGAAUGGCAUGAAAAAAAAAUUAUGUACAUUUGUUCUAUUCUAAUUUGCCUACUAAUAACAAUUUUUUUCUCCUCAACUAACUAUGUUCUGUCACAUGUUAGUCACGUGAGGAAAGAUUCUAGUAUUAAGACUAUCAAAUGGUCUAUAAUUAAUCUAUCAUUUCCUUGAUCCAAAGGUUGUGGCUCCUCCACGUGUUCCAAAUAAUCCACUGAAUACAACCUAUGUAACAUAGGUUACAUCGAAGAUAGCCACUUUGAUCUGAGAACAGAUGAGAUUCUUCUAGGACGUCUUCUUCUUCAUUCCCUCUUCUCUAUUUGUAGGCAAAACUCCAUGAAAAUCAGAACUAAGAUGGGGUUCUUAUUCCCAACAUCCCCCUCAAGUUGGAGGGGAACUUUGUGACCCCUAACUUGGCCAAAAUCUCACGAUGAGAAUCCCCAGAAAGAGGCUUUGUGAAGAUGUCUGCUAGCUGAGCUUUAGUAGGGAUAAAAGAAAGAGUGAUUAAUCCCAAAAGAAAUUAUUAGCGCACAAAAUGACAGUCAAUUUUGACAUGUUUUGUGUGUUCAUGAAAAACGGGGUCAUGGGUGACGUGGCUUGUUGCUUGCUAUCAGAGUGAGAGGAAUUGGUAAAGUGACUGGUGCAGAGAGAUCCUCAAGUACUCGUACUAACCACGUAAGUUCUGUAAUAACCCUUCUCAUAGAUCUGUAUUAUGCAGAAGAUAAAGAAAUUGAUACCUGCUUCUUUGGUUUCCAGUAAAUAGGAGCUUCUCCCAAUGUUAUGAAAAAACCACUAACGGACCUCCUUGAAUCCUUGCAAGACGCCUAAUCAGCGUUGUAAAAUGCUAGCAAGGAAAAUGAUGGUUCUGAUGAAAUGAGAAUACCUUGACCCAGAUUAGAGCUGAGGUAUUUGAGUACUCGUAAAGCAGCAAAGAAGUGAGAAACACAUGGUUUCUGCAUGUAUUGACUGAGGGUGAGUAUAGCAAAAGAAGAAUUCAAUCGAGUAUUAGUUAAAUAAUUUAACUCUCUGACCAAGUGAUGAAAUACAGUGGGAUUUUGCAGAGGUUGUCCAUUAUCAGCUUGAAGCUUGGAGGAAGGAUCCAAAGGGGAGCUGACUCGAGGCAAAUGAGACACAUCAAACUUCUUCAACAUGUCUAAG
RNAcentral lists this long non-coding RNA (3208 nucleotides) under Nicotiana tabacum (common tobacco). RNAcentral describes it as "long non-coding RNA (NTAB_LNC008938)". The record is from RNAcentral. Lineage: Eukaryota; Viridiplantae; Streptophyta; Magnoliopsida; Solanales; Solanaceae.